GCCUGGCCCUUCCCCCGGCCUGCGCGCUCCGCCGCCCACCCCCACUGCGGAAGGCUGGCUGACCCGCAGCGGCGCCGCCGCCGCCGCCGCCGAGGCCCGGCCCUCUCCGCUCCCCGCUCGGCGCGCACGGGGCCCGGGCCGCCCUGCCUUCCGGCCCCCGUGCAGGAGGAAGCGGCGGCAGCGCGCCCGCUCCUCCCUCACCGUCUCCGCCGCCGGCGGCCCCCCGAGCGGUCGCCAGCCGGGCCUGGCCCAGCAGCCGCUGAUGGCGCCCGGCGGGGGAGACGGGCCUGGACGGGACUCCGCCGGAGGCGCCUCCGCACACACGGGGAGGGCGAGGAAGCGGUGGGCGCCGCGCUGCCGCCCCUCUCCUCCAUGAACGGCGCGGCAGGGCCUCGCCGGCGCUGCCCUGCCGAGAUCCCCGACUCGCCCGCCCCGACGGCCACAGCGGGGCCGCCAGCUGCUCCGGCCCCUGGACCGGGAUAAAAUGGCCGCAGCAGGGCUGCGCCCGGCGGUGCCGCGGGCGCUCCCGCCUCGGUCGGCUCGGAGGCAGCAGCUUCUGGGAGUUUUUUUAAUUUUACAGGUUUGCACAAGAAAGAGGUGAAAAGCAGCAAAGAAGAGCUCAGACAGAGCUGGCCUGCAAGACGACACAAGAGAUGUCAGGCUGCUCCCCAAACGCUACGUCACACCGCCAGAGCUAACAAGCAAUUAGAAAGCAUUCCAAAAGCUAGAACAGUGCUGGCAAACCUACAUAUCUCAAUCUUCAAAAUCUCUUCAGAAAAAAAAGACUUUUUCUGAAAGAAGGAUCACAAAAUAUUGUUGUUUCAUUAGUAAUAAAAUUAAUGGGAAACAAUUAGGUAAAAUUGGUGCAAGCUACAACACAGAAACUAGAAGACCAUAUGUUUAAUAGAAACCUAACACUAACACCUAAACAAAUGCAACCAGAAAAAAGGAAAUUUAGAACCUAAUUUUAAAAAAAAUACCCUAUUUUGUCUCAGAAGAGCAUUGUGUAGUUACGGUUUACUGUGGAGUUUGAAGCAUUAACCCACAAAACCAAGUUCCUAUUGACAACUGAGACCAGACUGGUUCAGGUCUACCAAAUUCUUCACAAUUUUUUAAAAACUAAGGAUUAUGAGUUAUGAUUAUGAGUUACUUGAAUAAAUGUUUGGUAGACUAUUGUGGUUUUGUUGAUCAAGUCAAGGCAUCAAGAACAGCUUAAUAGUCUUAUUUUUAGUGAACUGAGGCACAGUAAAUUAAAAUACCUUUUAAAGUAGAAAUAAGGGAAGAAGUUAUCAGUGUUCAUCUCUAUGCAUGGUUGAUUUUAGACUUUUUGAUGGAUAAUUUAAGAUCUUUUUUUAUGGAAAAGAGCUGCCCCAGAAUUAUACCUCAUUGCAGCGUUCCUUUUUUUGCAUUUAUUUUGAAGCUCUUGAAGGAGGCAAGAUAUUAAUAUGCAGUUAAAUCUCUUGUUCAUUUGUUUUUGAUUAAGCUUUUAUUAGUAAUCUAUUCUCAGCCUUGGAGUGUGGGGUUUUUUUUUCAUUUGAGAAGUAUUUGUAAGGGAAUGCAACGCUGAUGGCACUCAAGUCUCACAAAAUCUUUUCAGCAUCCUCUUAGCUUCACUUAGAACCAGACGAUUUUCUGUAUGUAUAAGUACCUGGGUGAUCAAUGAGAGAAAAUUAGCAUUUCCCUUCCUGCUGGGGGAAAUCAUACAGAAUUUACUGUUUUCCUUCUCUUCUCAGCCAAAAUGUUAAUUGUGUUCACAGAGUAAGAGCCCAGGGAUGAAAUGCAUCAGAUCAUUAUUUCCUCUGCUAGAAGUUGACUAGUCCCGCUACGGGUAGUUGACAAUCACAGGUCACAAACUAAGAUCCUGAAUUUACAAACGCUUGCAGGUGCACAGCUCUGCUGGCACAGCACUGCAUAGAGCGAAAAGCUGGUUACAUCAUUAGGCAAUGAUGAUCAAAAAUUUUUGUUUCACCUUAGAAAUCUAAUUUUUCCUUCUCUUCCCACAAUGAAAAAAUUGUUAUUAAUGAAUGUGGCUUAGGUGAUUCAGUAUUGAAAUGAUGGAAAAAAUACAUCUUUUUUCUUUGUAUUUCUGACUGUCUCCAAUUACUUCUUGUUAGCCAAAUGGGGGUGGCUACUCCACAGAAACACUAUUUCCUUACUUAAGGAAUAAAAUGGAAUUGGGGUUGCAGUUCUGCAGCUUCUGUAGCUCUGGUAGUGUACAUAUUACUUAAUUUUCCUUACUGCUACAGAAAUUGCAUAUAGGUUUAAAGGAAUUUAUAGGCCCCUUGAAUAAUUUUUGUGUUAUUUACAACCCAUGAACCCAUCUUACAGACUAUAAAUCAAUGCUUUUGAACAGUUCCACCUUUCAGAAAAUAAUGGUUAUGGGCUGAAUUAUUUUUCACCAUUUUAAACUGUUGAUCUUAGAACUGUUUCUUGAAUGUAUUAAUGAUGUACAAUAUGUGUCCUUUGUUAAAAAAAAAACCCACAGUUUUUUUGCUGUCCUCAUGACCUGAUGCCUGUUUUUUCUCUGCAUUUUUAAAGCAAAAUCAGAUUUAUUUCUUGUGCUUGCUAUAUCUUGUUCUUGCUAUUAAAGAUAGUGCUUUAAUUUUAGGGGUUUUUUACCUGAUAAAAGUUCCAGGAGAGCUCACAUACUGUAGUUAACUCUUCAGAAAUGUUCCCAAAUAGAUGAGUACCAUUCAUCUAUGUGCUAGGAUAUAUCAGGAUGUGGAGAAGUUUUUUGGUAAAUUUUGGCAUCAAAGAUAGCUUGUCAAGUAGGUAGAAAAUAACUACAGACUGCUUAAGAUCAUCGGGACUUCAUCUAAAAUGUUUCUUUAAUUCCUUCCUUGAAGGAGACCUGCUUUUAAAAUCUGAUCAGCCUACCUCAAAAUGUGAUAUUGUGUUGUUGGAGAAUAACCGUAAUAAAUAUCUAUUAGAUUUCCUGCUGCUGUCAUAAACAUUUUGAAAAUAAAAAUCGCAUUCUUCAUU
Phalacrocorax carbo (great cormorant) is the source of this 2982-nucleotide non-coding RNA. NCBI's taxonomy places the organism in Eukaryota, Metazoa, Chordata, Aves, Suliformes, Phalacrocoracidae. The record is from RefSeq and is a predicted model, not a curated record.